GGGCCCCUUCAUGUGCCAGUCUCCUAGGGCACGCGCAACAGAUAACUGGCCAUUAAGGUAGCCAUCAUAUAUGACUCCACCGAGUUUCUCAAUUCUCAGUUUUUCAGAUAUGCAAAUAGGUUUGUGGUCUUUGGACAUCUCUAUUGCUCUACCUCGCCUCCCCAGCACUGCUCGACAAUCUCCAGCAUUGGCAAUUAUCAAGGUUCUGCAAAGAGAGAUUAUUUCAGUAGCAAAACAACCAUGAAACAACAAAUAUCAAAUGAGAAGCAACCAAGAAGAAAAUUCUAAAUGACCAAAAAUCUAAUUGUUCUACUUGUUUAAGAACCAGGAACAAGCAGUAGACUUGUCAUAUUUCAGUGAUUAAAGUAAUCUUAAAAAGACAUAUUGAUGUUUGUAUUCCUGGAAAAAGAUGGCAAGACAUAACAAAAACCAGAACAGCCCUUGUUUUUACAUCAGAUUUGAACUUGCACAGUUCUUGAUAUCAAAUUUCAAAGGUAAAUAACAAUGCAUCUUAAUAAUCCCAGCUCAAACUAGCUAGUUUACAAAGUUGAAACAGAAUUUGAUCUGAUGCAUCACUAUUGCUAAGCUACCCAUAACUUUUAUCUUCAACUCUCUCACUUCCAUUCUCAUCCUUCCAUUUUUAUUAUAAAUUAUAAUCAUACAGAUCCAUGUUAUUAAGAUAAUAUCCAUCCAUAAAGUCAUUUGUAUCAUCCUCCAGGGAAGUACUUUUAGAGGCCAACGUCCAUCUGCCAGGUGCUAGGACAAUAGGGGCAUUACUACCCCCUUAACCUUGUGUUUGGAUGGAGAAUUUAAAUUUUGAGAUUUGAAUUUGAUAAAAU
RNAcentral lists this unclassified non-coding RNA (839 nucleotides) under Hevea brasiliensis (rubber tree). Lineage: Eukaryota; Viridiplantae; Streptophyta; Magnoliopsida; Malpighiales; Euphorbiaceae. The record is from RNAcentral.